This 253-nucleotide ribosomal RNA is filed under the name uncultured bacterium. RNAcentral's name for it is "partial 16S ribosomal RNA". It matches the Rfam family "Bacterial small subunit ribosomal RNA", at positions 524 to 776 of the family's 1533-position model. The record is from RNAcentral.
UACAGAGGGGGCAAGCGUUAUUCGGAAUUAUUGGGCGUAAAGGGCGCGUAGGCGGCUUUGCAAGUGACGGGUGAAAUCCCUCGGCUUACCCGAGGAACUGCCUGUCAGACUGCAUGGCUUGAGACCGGGAGAGGUGAGUGGAAUUCCCAGUGUAGCGGUGAAAUGCGUAGAUAUUGGGAGGAACACCAGUGGCGAAGGCGGCUCACUGGACCGGUACUGACGCUGAUGCGCGAAAGCGUGGGGAGCAAACAGG